Molecule: transfer RNA, 107 nt
Organism: Trichophyton rubrum CBS 118892
Lineage: Eukaryota; Fungi; Ascomycota; Eurotiomycetes; Onygenales; Arthrodermataceae
Rfam family: tRNA
About the family: Transfer RNA (tRNA) molecules are approximately 80 nucleotides in length. Their secondary structure includes four short double-helical elements and three loops (D, anti-codon, and T loops). Further hydrogen bonds mediate the characteristic L-shaped molecular structure. tRNAs have two regions of fundamental functional importance: the anti-codon, which is responsible for specific mRNA codon recognition, and the 3' end, to which the tRNAs corresponding amino acid is attached (by aminoacyl-tRNA synthetases). tRNAs cope with the degeneracy of the genetic code in two manners: having more than one tRNA (with a specific anti-codon) for a particular amino acid; and 'wobble' base-pairing, i.e. permitting non-standard base-pairing at the 3rd anti-codon position.
Source: Rfam
GGCCGCGUGGCCUAAUGGUUAGGGCGUCGGAUUUCGGUUACCCAUUUUAAAGAUAUACGAUGGGCUUCUACCUCCGAAGGCUGUGCGUUCGAAUCGCAUCGUGGUCG